UACAGAGGUCUCAAGCGUUGUUCGGAUUCAUUGGGCGUAAAGGGUGCGUAGGUGGUGCUGUAAGUCAGGUGUGAAAUCUCGGGGCUCAACCCCGAAACUGCACUUGAUACUGCAGUGCUCGAGGACUGGAGAGGAGAUUGGAAUUCAUGGUGUAGCAGUGAAAUGCGUAGAUAUCAUGAGGAAGACCAGUGGCAAAGGCGGAUCUCUGGACAGUUCCUGACACUGAGGCACGAAGGCCAGGGGAGCAAACGGG
RNAcentral lists this ribosomal RNA (253 nucleotides) under uncultured bacterium. RNAcentral's name for it is "partial 16S ribosomal RNA". It matches the Rfam family "Bacterial small subunit ribosomal RNA", at positions 524 to 776 of the family's 1533-position model. The record is from RNAcentral.